This 270-nucleotide long non-coding RNA is filed under the name Dasypus novemcinctus (nine-banded armadillo). Its description in RNAcentral is "lncRNA (ENSDNOG00000049891.1)". The record is from RNAcentral. Lineage: Eukaryota; Metazoa; Chordata; Mammalia; Cingulata; Dasypodidae.
CUCCGUCCCCUCUGCCCUGGGAGCCCGGCCUGAGCGCUCACCUGCUGCGCCCCCAGCUCUACGUAUCCUGGCGCCGCCGAGGCCAAGGCUGGCCACCAUCUCUUAGAGAAAUGGGAAGAUUGUGAUCCAUUUUUUAUUUUGAUGAAUGCUCUACUUAAGCCCGAUGCCUUGGGGACUGAGUGGUUGCCUCACUUAACUAAUAAGGUAAUUAUUAGAAUUGGGAUUUGUUAUAGUUGCCUUUGACUAUGCUGACAGAAAGAGGAUAACAAU